Onychostoma macrolepis is the source of this 964-nucleotide long non-coding RNA. RefSeq lists it as uncharacterized. NCBI's taxonomy places the organism in Eukaryota, Metazoa, Chordata, Actinopteri, Cypriniformes, Cyprinidae. The transcript is spliced from 6 exons. The record is from RefSeq and is a predicted model, not a curated record.
CCGGUUGAUUCCGGCUCUCCUCUUCCUGGCAUUCCCUUUUUCGUUCCUCACUGCGUCAGUCUGAUUUUAGAGUGGGGCUGGUGGCAUCGAUAUUGCGGCAAGUGUGUGGCGGAGUUUAUUUACAGUAAUGGUGACACAAGCGGAUGCGUGAAUGCUGUCUGGUAAGUUGAGUCACACUUGUUGGAGUAACCAUAUAGCUUUGCGCUGGUUUUCGUUCAACCCUAACCGUAAAAGGGGGAAUGAAACAUCACCGUCUCUAAGUUGAUCUCUUGGUGAAGAUACUGUGACGCCGCUGCUGUUUUGCUUAUGGACAUUUUUUGUUUUCGUUUUGAAAACGGACCUGUGGUACGUCAUUGCUUACGGCUUCGCGGUUUGGCGGGUCGUUUGGGCCGAUCUCUGUGCCUUUGCCAGGCCACCUAUCUGUUUUAUUUUGAUUUAGUUUUUGUUAGUAUAAUUUCGUUUGCGCAUUGCGCUGUGGUUUUUCUUUUUUUGUACUUUGGGUUUCUUUUAUAACAGCGUUAACUUUUUUUGUUUUGUGUUACUUGUGGUUGUUCUGCAGCUUCAUAACUGUUCCUUUACAUUUCUGUGUCAUAUAUUGUAUUACGUCAUCGUAAAGAAUCCACAUUCUUUACUUCAUUUGUUUUGUACUUCUGGUGUCAUCCAGGCACUGUGACUUACUCUCACUGCAUUUUGUGCACUUAGGAGGCCGGCGUAUUGGAGUCCCUACGACUAGUGUCUGAGCCAGUGAGGACUCUGUGUGGAGCAGGGGAGGCUAGUCGCUUUCCUUCCAUGGUGGGUUUGGAUGACCUCCCGAGUUGCAGCCGGCCUGCCCUGUUCCCACUAAGCCUGGCCCUGGAGUUAUUUUAAUAAUCUGGUGGUGUGUUUCUGGAGAGAGAACAUUUUAUUGAUAUUAUUAUAAUAAAGUGUAUUUUUGUAUUGACACUCAUGUCUCACUAGAUCUUAU